AUGCUCAAGCUCGACAUUGCACGUGCUUUCGACUCCGUCUCCUGGCCAUUCCUCCUCGACACCCUGCGCCACCUCGGCUUUGGUCGACGCUGGUGCGAGUGGGUCUGCAUACUCCUUGGCACGGCCAGCACGCGCGUCCUCAUCAAUGGCAGCCCAGGAUCACCGAUCAUCCAUCGGUGCGGCUUCCGGCAGGGCGACCCGCUCUCCCCCAUGUUCUUCGUCAUGGUCAUCGACAACCUCAACACCUUGUUUUGUCGUGCGGUGGCCGACGGUGUUCUCCAGCGCCUUACCACCCGUCACAUGUGA
This 306-nucleotide ribosomal RNA is filed under the name Triticum aestivum (bread wheat). Its description in RNAcentral is "partial small subunit ribosomal RNA". The record is from RNAcentral. Lineage: Eukaryota; Viridiplantae; Streptophyta; Magnoliopsida; Poales; Poaceae.